CCUACGGGAGGCAGCAGUGGGGGAUAUUGCACAAUGGGGGAAACCCUGAUGCAGCGACGCCGCGUGUGGGAAGACGGUCCUCUGGAUUGUAAACCACUGUCCCCAGGGACGAAGAUGACGGUACCGGGGGAGGAAGCGCCGGCUAACUACGUGCCAGCAGCCGCGGUAAUACGUCGGGAGCGAGCGCUGGCCGGAAUUACUGGGUGUAAAGGGAGCGGAGGCGGGACUGCAAGUUGGGUGUCAAAUCUACCGGCUCAACCGGUAGCCGCACUCAAAACUGCAGUUCUUGAGUGAAGUAGAGGCAGGCGGAAUUCCUAGUGUAGCGGUGAACUGCGUAGAUAUUAGGAGGAACACCAGUGGCGAAGGCGGCCUGCUGGGCUUUUACUGCCGCUGAGGCUCGAAAGUGUGGGGAGCAAACAGGAUUAGAUACCCCGGUAGUC
Molecule: ribosomal RNA, 440 nt
Filed under: uncultured bacterium
Lineage: Bacteria
Description: partial 16S ribosomal RNA
Rfam family: Bacterial small subunit ribosomal RNA
Source: RNAcentral